UACGGGAGGCAGCAGUGGGGAAUAUUGCACAAUGGGCGCAAGCCUGAUGCAGCCAUGCCGCGUGUAUGAAGAAGGCCUUCGGGUUGUAAAGUACUUUCAGUCGUGAGGAAGGUGUUAAGGUUAAUAACCUUAGCAAUUGACGUUAGCGACAGAAGAAGCACUGGCUAACUCCGUGCCAGCAGCCGCGGUAAUACGGAGGGUGCGAGCGUUAAUCGGAAUUACUGGGCGUAAAGGGCACGCAGGCGGUUAAUUAAGUUGGAUGUGAAAUCCCCGGGCUUAACCUGGGAAUGGCAUUCAAGACUGGUUAGCUAGAGUCUUGUAGAGGGGGUUAGAAUUCCAUGUGUAGCGGUGAAAUGCGUAGAGAUGUGGAGGAAUACCGGUGGCGAAGGCGGCCCCUGGGACAAAGACUGACGCUCAUGUGCGAAAGCGUGGGGAGCAAACAGGAUUAGAUACC
RNAcentral lists this ribosomal RNA (454 nucleotides) under uncultured bacterium. RNAcentral describes it as "bacterial SSU rRNA". It matches the Rfam family "Bacterial small subunit ribosomal RNA", at positions 340 to 786 of the family's 1533-position model. The record is from RNAcentral.